Molecule: long non-coding RNA, 859 nt
Organism: Anthonomus grandis grandis
Lineage: Eukaryota; Metazoa; Arthropoda; Insecta; Coleoptera; Curculionidae
Exons: 2
Source: RefSeq, a predicted model, not a curated record
AACAUCCUUCAAAUUAUAGACAUCAGUAGACCCUGUUAAAGAGUUGAUCUCCAAUCCAGGCAGAACAAAACCUGAUGUCCAGCAUUAGAAAUCGUGUUGAUGGGAUAGUGCUAGCAAGCACUCAACAAAACAACACACUGAUGUAAUGGCCAAUUACACAGUCUACAAAAUAAUCCCAGGUGCCACAACACUCUGGGUUGCACUAGUGCCAAACACCUACUUACACUAGCUAGCGUUGUUUUACGUACCAAGGUAUCAGGUCACUACACCUAGCACGGAAGGAUGCGCAUUUAAAUAUUACUUUCUUUAUACUGAUAAUGAUUAAAAUAAUAAGAAAAACAUAAGGUAAAACAAUGCUUAGUGAAAACUCUCACCUUUAUAAUUUGACAGGUUUGAUAGUUCAAUAAAGGCCCUAACCACAACACUAGAGAAAAGUUACGGGAGAACAAGUGGACACUACUCCACGACUGUUUUCGAGUAAAGUUACCAUCGAACUGAAUUCUAAAAAGGAUCAUAUUAGAAAUAUCCCUUAAAAGAAUUCUGGUAAACAUCUGUCAUCGCCUAUGUUUUUGAGAACUUGUAAAUACCAACAUUCCCACACAUUAUAACUUUCUCCGAAGUGACCUUUUUACCCGCAUAAGUACUAGGGGGCUUAUCUCAGAAACUGUGGAGUUCCGGGAGUUGAGCCAAUAGAGACUUUGAAUUAAGGGACCAAAAUAUAUAACAUACUACAAUAUCUACAAGCUCUGAGAGGGGUCUUUUUUAUUUGAGAUGCAAUAUUUAUUGACAACCUUAAAUCUCACCUCAUAUUAUACUUUUUUGUUUUUUUAUUUAAAUAAAGCAUUUUUUGCAAAAAAAU